GAUUCCAUGGUGUAGUUGGUUAUCACACCUGUCUAACACACAGGAGGGCAUGAGUUCGAACCUCAUUGGAAUCA
Lichtheimia corymbifera is the source of this 74-nucleotide transfer RNA. It matches the Rfam family "tRNA". Rfam says of the family: Transfer RNA (tRNA) molecules are approximately 80 nucleotides in length. Their secondary structure includes four short double-helical elements and three loops (D, anti-codon, and T loops). Further hydrogen bonds mediate the characteristic L-shaped molecular structure. tRNAs have two regions of fundamental functional importance: the anti-codon, which is responsible for specific mRNA codon recognition, and the 3' end, to which the tRNAs corresponding amino acid is attached (by aminoacyl-tRNA synthetases). tRNAs cope with the degeneracy of the genetic code in two manners: having more than one tRNA (with a specific anti-codon) for a particular amino acid; and 'wobble' base-pairing, i.e. permitting non-standard base-pairing at the 3rd anti-codon position. NCBI's taxonomy places the organism in Eukaryota, Fungi, Mucoromycota, Mucoromycetes, Mucorales, Lichtheimiaceae. The record is from Rfam.